AGCGAACGCUGGCGGCAGGCUUAACACAUGCAAGUCGAGCGGGCGUAGCAAUACGUCAGCGGCAGACGGGUGAGUAACGCGUGGGAACGUGCCCUUUGGUUCGGAACAACACAGGGAAACUUGUGCUAAUACCGGAUAAGCCCUUACGGGGAAAGAUUUAUCGCCGAAGGAUCGGCCCACGUCUGAUUAGCUUGUUGGUGAGGUAUCGGCUCACCAAGGCUACGAUCAGUAGCUGGUCUGAGAGGAUGAUCAGCCACACUGGGACUGAGACACGGCCCAGACUCCUACGGGAGGCAGCAGUGGGGAAUAUUGGACAAUGGGGGCAACCCUGAUCCAGCCAUGCCGCGUGAGUGAUGAAGGCCCUAGGGUUGUAAAGCUCUUUCGGCGGGGAAGAUAAUGACGGUACCCGCAUAAGAAGCCCCGGCUAACUUCGUGCCAGCCGCCGCCGUAA
Molecule: ribosomal RNA, 451 nt
Filed under: uncultured bacterium
Lineage: Bacteria
Description: partial 16S ribosomal RNA
Rfam family: Bacterial small subunit ribosomal RNA
Source: RNAcentral